Molecule: ribosomal RNA, 455 nt
Filed under: uncultured cyanobacterium
Lineage: Bacteria; Bacillati; Cyanobacteriota
Description: bacterial SSU rRNA
Rfam family: Bacterial small subunit ribosomal RNA
Source: RNAcentral
GAUGAGCUCGCGUCUGAUUAGCUAGUAGGUGUGGUAACGGCACACCUAGGCGACGAUCAGUAACUGGUCUGAGAGGAUGACCAGUCACACUGGGACUGAGACACGGCCCAGACUCCUACGGGAGGCAGCAGUGGGGAAUUUUCCGCAAUGGGCGAAAGCCUGACGGAGCAAUACCGCGUGAGGGACGACGGCUUUUGGGUUGUAAACCUCUUUUCCCUGGGAAGAAGAUCUGACGGUACCAGGGGAAUCAGCAUCGGCUAACUUCGUGCCAGCAGCCGCGGUAAUACGAGGGAUGCAAGCGUUAUCCGGAAUUAUUGGGCGUAAAGCGUCCGCAGGUGGUUUUGUAAGUCUGCCGUUAAAGCGUGGAGCUUAACUCCAUAUCGGCGGUGGAAACUACAAGACUAGAGUUUGGUAGGGGUCACGGGAAUUCUUAGUGUAGCGGUGAAAUGCGUAGA